CUGGGUGUAGCGCAGUUGGUAGCGCGCUACCUUGGGGUGGUAGAGGCCGGAGGUUCAAAUCCUCUCACUCAGACCA
This 76-nucleotide transfer RNA is filed under the name Clostridiales bacterium. RNAcentral's name for it is "tRNA-Pro". It matches the Rfam family "tRNA". Rfam says of the family: Transfer RNA (tRNA) molecules are approximately 80 nucleotides in length. Their secondary structure includes four short double-helical elements and three loops (D, anti-codon, and T loops). Lineage: Bacteria; Bacillati; Bacillota; Clostridia; Eubacteriales. The record is from RNAcentral.